Molecule: ribosomal RNA, 476 nt
Filed under: Pseudomonas sp. RC1
Lineage: Bacteria; Pseudomonadati; Pseudomonadota; Gammaproteobacteria; Pseudomonadales; Pseudomonadaceae
Description: bacterial SSU rRNA
Rfam family: Bacterial small subunit ribosomal RNA
Source: RNAcentral
AGUCGAGCGGUAGAGAGAAGCUUGCUUCUCUUGAGAGCGGCGGACGGGUGAGUAAAGCCUAGGAAUCUGCCUGGUAGUGGGGGAUAACGUUCGGAAACGGACGCUAAUACCGCAUACGUCCUACGGGAGAAAGCAGGGGACCUUCGGGCCUUGCGCUAUCAGAUGAGCCUAGGUCGGAUUAGCUAGUUGGUGAGGUAAUGGCUCACCAAGGCGACGAUCCGUAACUGGUCUGAGAGGAUGAUCAGUCACACUGGAACUGAGACACGGUCCAGACUCCUACGGGAGGCAGCAGUGGGGAAUAUUGGACAAUGGGCGAAAGCCUGAUCCAGCCAUGCCGCGUGUGUGAAGAAGGUCUUCGGAUUGUAAAGCACUUUAAGUUGGGAGGAAGGGCAGUUACCUAAUACGUGAUUGUUUUGACGUUACCGACAGAAUAAGCACCGGCUAACUCUGUGCCAGCAGCCGCGGUAAUACAGAGG